GGNNCUGGGCGAGCCUGAUCAGCCAUGCCGCGUGUGUGAAGAAGGUCUUCGGAUUGUAAAGCACUUUAAGUUGGGAGGAAGGGCAGUAAGUUAAUACCUUGCUGUUUUGACGUUACCAACAGAAUAAGCACCGGCUAACUUCGUGCCAGCAGCCGCGGUAAAU
This 163-nucleotide ribosomal RNA is filed under the name uncultured Pseudomonas sp. Its description in RNAcentral is "partial 16S ribosomal RNA". It matches the Rfam family "Bacterial small subunit ribosomal RNA", at positions 367 to 525 of the family's 1533-position model. The record is from RNAcentral. Lineage: Bacteria; Pseudomonadati; Pseudomonadota; Gammaproteobacteria; Pseudomonadales; Pseudomonadaceae.